UAUUUUUAUAACGAGUCAUAUAAUAAUUAGGGUAAAAAUAAUCUGUAGAAGAGGACGAAGUGAAAGCGGCCAUGAAAUAGACUGUUGUGCACAAGAGUGAGCUUUCAUCUUUCAAAAAAAUCAACUCAAGCAAAGAAUACCUACCGAAAUAAAUAUUCUGAGGCACUGAAGAAUGAAAUGACAUUGAGGAACUAGCUUGCUUGACUUCGGUGGAGGUAGUGUACCAAUAAAAUGCAACGAGUGUACCAAUGACUUCAGAUUUCCCUCAGCUCCAGCCAGUCUCCCGCAUAUCAGGUUCCAGGUUUAGCUAUUCCUUCAAGCUCAUGUUGGAUUCUUUCGGUCAUGACAUGAUGUUCUAUACUUUUGGACACAUAGCAUUUUAUUCUUUUAUUUUGGUGUAUUUGAUAUUCUUAGACUUAUUAUUGGAGAUUAGAUGUCCUUGAUGUGAUGACUUUCAGGUUUUGGGAAAUGAAAUUUAGUAACAUUUGAGUGUCCUUGAUGUGAUGACUUUCAGGUUUUGGGAAAUGAAAUUUAGUAACAUUUGAGUUUCCGUAGUAUGCUUGUAUUUUGUAAGUUAGGUUAAAUUGGUUGGUUCACCCACUUAGGAGGUUAAGUGUGGGUGCCACUCACGACUCGUUUUGGGCGUCACAUGUUGCAUUGUUGAACUCAUCCUGAUAUAUUAUUUUCUGAUUUGAUGAA
Solanum lycopersicum (tomato) is the source of this 699-nucleotide long non-coding RNA. RefSeq lists it as uncharacterized. NCBI's taxonomy places the organism in Eukaryota, Viridiplantae, Streptophyta, Magnoliopsida, Solanales, Solanaceae. The record is from RefSeq and is a predicted model, not a curated record.